GCAGAAGUUCACCACCACCGCGCAGGUUCAUGCCAUUUCUGAUGAUGAUGAUCGAGAACUUUCCUGUUUUGAUCUCGAUCAGAUAAUGAACAGUGGACCCAAAGAAACUAAAGUGGGCUUUUAUAAAAAAAAGAGGGUUCACAUCGUGAAUCUGUCAGCUCACCGCAACUCAAUCACAAUCACCACCAUCUUCAAGACCCCAGAUCAGGUGCGGCAGCGGCAGGUGCGUCUGGUAGCAGUUCUGGUCCCGCUCCCAGGUCUGCUUCUCCUGCUUCUGGGCGCCGUCCUCCGUCUCAACCAUCUCAGCCCCAGCCAGCCAUUGUCUCUUCCGGGGGUAAUCACGAAAAUCAGGACGUCCCUGCUCCUACGGCCGAAAAGCAGAAAAGACCUGACGAGGUGAAAAAUGAAGCGGACGUCCAGCUUCUAAUGAUCAAGCUGCGCCGUGUGGUCAAAGCCGACACGUGUCUGUCAGUGAAAGUCCACAAAAUACAGGAUUUUCUGAUGAUUUUUCUCCGGCCCUCUUGAAGCGUCGCUGUCUCGACGCACUCAGCAAGACUGUGGACCUGUGCAUUAGAAUAUUGGACGAACUGUAAGAUUUUUUUCUGCUCGUUGUAUCUAGGAAAAAAUGAACCUCCUUUGUCACUUGACGUUAUAAAUCACCUUCAAUMAGCCGUAGAUGAAUUAAGACAAAUUCCAUUGCCUGUCAAUGUAAACUCUUUCCAAAAUUSUCCUGAUGAGAACAUUUCUCAGGAAAGUCAAUUAAAUGAAACACAGCAAACUGUGGACUUUUUUCACACUUUGGACAAAGCUAUUUCAAUUCUCCCUCUAUUUGAUCUGCAAGCUGAAAUAGACAGAUUACGGGAAAUCCCUUUGCCUGUAAACUUGACACAUAUUUCUCCUGACGAGAUAUUUUCUCAGGAGACUCGUCCAGAAGAAAGAUCUCAGACUGGUGAAAAUUUUAAAUGUUUAGAGGAAGCUGUAUCAGAUCUUUCUCAAAUCCAGGCAGAUGAAAACUCUACAAAAUUUAUCUCAGAGUGAAAAUGCUCUACACGAGCUUAAUCAAUUAGUUGCAGGAUUCGGGGCUGUGCCUUCAGAUGACAUUUGUCGAUACAGAGCAGGACCCUCAACAGAACAGAAUCAAAAUGUGCAAAUUUCCACUUGUGAACGGUUUAAUAACCAUGAAAUUCGCCUACGGUUUUUUAUACCUUGUUCAGAUAACGCACUGAAUUUAGCCGAAUAUUACACCAAUGUUAUGAGUAUUCUGUCAAAUCUCUCUGACAGGGUUGAAUCUUUAUCCCAUAGAAAUGACCUCAUUCAAAUUGAGUUAUCUGGUGAAAACGUUUCCCAUAACGUUACGUUCCAAGUCGAUGAAAAUCCAAGCAACAUUUUAUCUGAAUUUACAGAUUUUCUAGACCGUUUAAUUCAAUCUGACGGACAGAUAGAUUCGGAGAAUGAUUUAUAAUUCAUCAUUCAAAUUGUUAAAAAUCCGAGGGGAGGAAUCAAGCGGAAAGCUGAAAAGUCUUUGGACACAGAAUUAAUAAA
Molecule: long non-coding RNA, 1542 nt
Organism: Austrofundulus limnaeus
Lineage: Eukaryota; Metazoa; Chordata; Actinopteri; Cyprinodontiformes; Rivulidae
Exons: 4
Source: RefSeq, a predicted model, not a curated record